RNAcentral lists this ribosomal RNA (941 nucleotides) under uncultured archaeon. RNAcentral describes it as "bacterial SSU rRNA". It matches the Rfam family "Archaeal small subunit ribosomal RNA", at positions 1 to 921 of the family's 1478-position model. The record is from RNAcentral.
UUCCGGUUGAUCCCGCCGGACCCCACUGCUAUCGAGGUGGGACUAAGCCAUGCCAGUCGAACGACCCGGACUAUGGCGGGGAGUGGCAGACUGCUCAGUAACACGUAGCUAACCUACCCUCAGGACGGGGAUAACCCCGGGAAACUGGGGCUAAUACCCGAUAGGUAUGGAUUCCUGGAAUGGUGCCAUGCCUAAACGUAAGCACAUCCAUGUUUGUGUGCACGCCCGAGGAUGGGGCUGCGGCCGAUCAGGCAGUUGGUGAGGUAACGGCUCACCAAACCUUUGACCGGUACGGGCCAUGAGAGUGGUAGCCCGGAGAUGGGCACUGAGACAAGGGCCCAGGCCCUACGGGGCGCAGCAGGCGCGAAACCUCCACAAUUCACGCAAGUGAGAUGGGGUUACCUCGAGUGCCAUCUGAAGAAGGUGGCUUUUCCAUGGUGUAAUGAGCCGUGGGAAUAAGGGGGGGGCAAGACUGGUGUCAGCCGCCGCGGUAACACCAGCCCCCCGAGUGGUGGGGAUGAUUAUUUGGCCUAAAGCGUCCGUAGCCAGCUCGGUAAAUCUCUCGUUAAAUCCAGCGUCCUAAGCGUUGGGCUGCGAGGGAAACUGCCGAACUAGAGGGUGGGAGAGGUCAGCGGUAUUCCUGGGGUAGGGGCGAAAUCCAUUGAUCCCAGGAGGACCACCAGUGGCGAAGGCUGCUGACUAGAACACGCCUGACGGUGAGGGACGAAAGCUGGGGUAGCGAAUCGGAUUAGAUACCCGAGUAGUCCCAGCCGUAAACGAUGCAGGCUAGGUGUUGGGUCGGCCAUGCGCCGCCUCAGUGCCACAGGGAAGCCAUUAAGCCUGCCGCCUGGGGAGUACGGCCGCAAGGCUGAAACUUAAAGGAAUUGGCGGGGGGAGCACCACCAGGCGUGAAGCCUGCGUUUAAUUGGAGUCAACGCCGG